RNAcentral lists this ribosomal RNA (253 nucleotides) under uncultured bacterium. Its description in RNAcentral is "partial 16S ribosomal RNA". It matches the Rfam family "Bacterial small subunit ribosomal RNA", at positions 524 to 776 of the family's 1533-position model. The record is from RNAcentral.
UACGUAGGGUGCGAGCGUUGUCCGGAAUUAUUGGGCGUAAAGGGCUCGUAGGCGGUCUGUCGCGUCGGGAGUGAAAACUCAGGGCUUAACCCUGAGCCUGCUCCCGAUACGGGCAGACUAGAGGUAUGCAGGGGAGAACGGAAUUCCUGGUGUAGCGGUGAAAUGCGCAGAUAUCAGGAGGAACACCGGUGGCGAAGGCGGUUCUCUGGGCAUUACCUGACGCUGAGGAGCGAAAGUGUGGGGAGCGAACAGG